This is a non-coding RNA of Arachis ipaensis, 468 nucleotides long. Lineage: Eukaryota; Viridiplantae; Streptophyta; Magnoliopsida; Fabales; Fabaceae. The record is from RefSeq and is a predicted model, not a curated record.
CAUGAUUUCAUUUUCUUUGGUUUAUGAAUUGGUUUUGCUUAUUAUGAAUUUUGUUGAUUGUUGAUUGUUACUAUGAUGAUGUUGGCUUGUUCUGCCAUUAGUUACUUUGUUGAUUGAAUUUUUUUCUUUAAUGAGAUUUUGUUCUGAGCAAUGUUAGGAGAAAAUAGUUCUGCUUUGUCAUCAGUUCCUACUCUGUCAUCUGCUGCUGUUCCGUGCUCUCCCUCCGCUUGCGUCCACUACGCCGUCCCCCACCUCGUCCGCUGAGGUUCGGUUACGCAUGUAAAGUGGCUGGGAAUUCUAAGUUGAUUCUCUCAAUGGCCUGAAUGACUCAAGUAAAAUUGCUGCAUUUGAUUUUGAUGGCCUGAAUGACUCAAGUAAAAAUCUUAGAAUUCUGGAGAAGAUUGCCCAAAUAUUCAAAGAGGAUUUGAAGUUUGGUGGAGAAGAGCUUUCUGGAAGCGGAAUGGAGAG